Molecule: transfer RNA, 78 nt
Filed under: Phaeoacremonium minimum UCRPA7
Lineage: Eukaryota; Fungi; Ascomycota; Sordariomycetes; Togniniales; Togniniaceae
Description: tRNA-His (GTG) (tRNA-His-GTG-5-1)
Source: RNAcentral
GGGCGAUUGGUCUAGUGGUAUGAUUGUGAGUGUGACCGUGACUGCAAGAGGCCCCGUGUUCGAUCCACGGAUCGCCCC